RNAcentral lists this ribosomal RNA (301 nucleotides) under uncultured bacterium. RNAcentral's name for it is "partial 16S ribosomal RNA". It matches the Rfam family "Bacterial small subunit ribosomal RNA", at positions 509 to 808 of the family's 1533-position model. The record is from RNAcentral.
CAGUCGCCACGGUAAUACGGAGGGGCUAGCGUUGUUCGGAAUUACUGGGCGUAAAGCGCACGUAGGCGGCUUGGUAAGUUAGAGGUGAAAGCCCGGAGCUCAACUCCGGAAUUGCCUUUAAGACUGCCGAGCUAGUAGGUGAGAGAGGUAAGUGGAAUUCCGAGUGUAGAGGUGAAAUUCGUAGAUAUUCGGAAGAACACCAGUGGCGAAGGCGGCUUACUGGCUCAUUCUAGACGCUGAGGUGCGAAAGCGUGGGGAGCAAACAGGAUUAGAUACCCGAGUAGUCCCUGUCUCUUAUACA